RNAcentral lists this unclassified non-coding RNA (145 nucleotides) under uncultured fungus. Its description in RNAcentral is "sequence contains ITS1, 5.8S rRNA gene". Lineage: Eukaryota; Fungi. The record is from RNAcentral.
CCGUGGGAGCCUCCUGGCCCCUACCGAGAUAGCACCCUCUGUCUUCUUGAGCACCUUCUGUUUCCUCGGCGGGUCCGCCCGCCAAUGGGGACCAAACAAAACCUCCCUGCAGUAUCAGUAGUAAACGUACAAAACAAAGCAAUCA